UGGGGAAUAUUGGACAAUGGGCGAAAGCCUGAUCCAGCCAUGCCGCGUGUGUGAAGAAGGCCUUAUGGUUGUAAAGCACUUUAAGUGGGGAGGAAAAGCUUAUGGAUAACACCCAUAGGUUCUGACGUUACCCACAGAAUAAGCACCGGCUAACUCUGUGCCAGCAGCCGCGGUAAUACAGAGGGUGCAAGCGUUAAUCGGAAUUACUGGGCGUAAAGCGAGCGUAGGUGGUUUAUUAAGUCAGAUGUGAAAUCCCUGGGCUUAACCUAGGAACUGCAUCUGAUACUGAUAAACUAGAGUAGGUGAGAGGAAAGUAGAAUUCCAGGUGUAGCGGUGAAAUGCGUAGAGAUCUGGAGGAAUACCGAUGGCGAAGGCAGCUUUCUGGCACCAUACUGACACUGAGGUUCGAAAGCGUGGGUAGCAAACAGGAUUAGAUACCCUGGUAGUCCACGCCGUAAACGAUGUCUACCAGUCGUUGGGUCUUUUAAAGGCUUAGUGACGCAGUUAACGCGAUAAGUAGACCGCCUGGGGAGUACGGCCGCAAGGUUA
Molecule: ribosomal RNA, 549 nt
Filed under: uncultured bacterium
Lineage: Bacteria
Description: bacterial SSU rRNA
Rfam family: Bacterial small subunit ribosomal RNA
Source: RNAcentral